CGGGACGUGGCGCAGUUUGGUAGCGCGCCUGCUUUGGGAGCAGGAUGUCGCAGGUUCGAAUCCUGUCGUCCCGA
Transfer RNA from Cryptobacterium curtum DSM 15641, 74 nucleotides. It matches the Rfam family "tRNA". Rfam says of the family: Transfer RNA (tRNA) molecules are approximately 80 nucleotides in length. Their secondary structure includes four short double-helical elements and three loops (D, anti-codon, and T loops). The record is from Rfam. NCBI's taxonomy places the organism in Bacteria, Bacillati, Actinomycetota, Coriobacteriia, Eggerthellales, Eggerthellaceae.